AAGCAAAACCGCUAAAGAAGGGCAGAAAGGUUCCAUGAGACCCCAUGCCCACGUCAGGUUCCUCUUUGUCGUAGCCCACCCGGUGGUACGAGCCAAUUCGGGCUGGGGAGUCAUCCAAAGAGAAGCGAGAACGCAGAACUAGAAUCCCAUGAGACCGCAUGCCCAUGUAAGGUUCCAUAUCCAUGAUACCACGCAAUACUCAAUGRUCCACACCGCCAAUGCUAGCAUUACCAAUGUGGUUCAAAGAGACUGCUUCAAGGUUCAUCUCGUGSCAUGAAACUGACACGAGAUGAAAGCGACUUCGAUCGAUCAAGAUAAUACCAUCACUUAGGUAGGCAACACAGGAAACCCACAUUCCRCUUAGGCGAUACAAGCCUAAGCAGAUAACUGAAAAGGUAUGCA
This 402-nucleotide unclassified non-coding RNA is filed under the name Wamalchitamia aurantiaca. Its description in RNAcentral is "partial external transcribed spacer". Lineage: Eukaryota; Viridiplantae; Streptophyta; Magnoliopsida; Asterales; Asteraceae. The record is from RNAcentral.